UACGUAGGGUGCUAGCGUUGUUCGGAAUCAUUGGGCGUAAAGCGCGUGUAGGUUGUCAACUAAGUCGGGUGUGAAAUCCCUGGGCUCAACCCAGGAAGUGCACUCGAAACUGGUUGGCUAGAAAACAGUAGAGGAAGGUGGAAUUCCUAGUGUAGAGGUGAAAUUCGUAGAUAUUAGGAGGAAUACCGGUGGCGAAGGCGGCCUUCUGGACUGAUUUUGACACUGAGACGCGAAAGCGUGGGUAGCAAACAGG
RNAcentral lists this ribosomal RNA (253 nucleotides) under uncultured bacterium. RNAcentral's name for it is "partial 16S ribosomal RNA". It matches the Rfam family "Bacterial small subunit ribosomal RNA", at positions 524 to 776 of the family's 1533-position model. The record is from RNAcentral.